AUAUAGGCCUCACUUAGAGGCCUUGCUAUGACCUGGGGAGGUUAGGCAUCCAUGGGUAGCGGUAGCUCCGACCCUCUUGGAGAGACGGCAACCAGAGACCGGGUUGUCAGACCCGGUUGGGAACGUCUC
This 129-nucleotide non-coding RNA is filed under the name unclassified sequences. The record is from Rfam.